Non-coding RNA from Odocoileus virginianus texanus, 603 nucleotides. Lineage: Eukaryota; Metazoa; Chordata; Mammalia; Artiodactyla; Cervidae. The record is from RefSeq and is a predicted model, not a curated record.
AGGGUGAGAGCUGGGCAACGUGACUGAAACAGUCUACUGAGAGAAGGGAGGCGAGAGGGGAGGAUUUAGGUGAGACAGUCGAGGUAACAGCCCCGGUACUGAAUGGUAUUGGGAUGCCGAAGCUUCUGUAGGAACCGCACCUCCUUGAUGAUGUCCUGCCAUUUCUGAGAGAAGCCCUAUACAACAAAAAGGAAAGGAGCGUUAUCACCAUUUCACGGAUGAGAUCGCUGAGGCACAGAAAGAAAGGACUUCUCCAAGGCCAGCGAACAGGCUCUUCUCUCCAGUCAGGCCUAUGUACUUAUUUACUCUCUCAAAAACUCACCCCAGCUCAGUCCCCUCCUGCAGGAAGCCUCCCUGACUACCUCAGCUCUUGGGGAGAGCUUCUAGAGUCCACAGUCAAAAAAAUAUCGAAAACUCCAGCAAUACAUCAGUCAAGACCCCCAGCCCCCAGGGGAUUCUAGGUCAGUCGCCUGGAUAAGCACUUGCUGGAAUUUAGGUACAAAGGAGUUUUCAGUGGCACUGGACUCCCAGGGCAGAGUUCUAGCUCCUUAAAAGCACCUAACAAUUUAGCAUGUAAUUAUAUUCUGUUGUGCAUUGUUUCCU